Molecule: ribosomal RNA, 253 nt
Filed under: uncultured bacterium
Lineage: Bacteria
Description: partial 16S ribosomal RNA
Rfam family: Bacterial small subunit ribosomal RNA
Source: RNAcentral
UACGUAGGUGGCAAGCGUUGUCCGGAUUUACUGGGCGUAAAGAGCGCGCAGGCGGUCGUUCAAGUCGCGUGUGAAAGCCCCCGGCUCAACUGGGGAGGGUCACGCGAUACUGAUCGACUCGAAGGCAGGAGAGGGAAGUGGAAUUCCCGGUGUAGUGGUGAAAUGCGUAGAUAUCGGGAGAAACACCAGUGGCGAAGGCGACUUCCUGGCCUGUUCUUGACGCUGAGGCGCGAAAGCUAGGGGAGCAAACGGG